RNAcentral lists this long non-coding RNA (323 nucleotides) under Ananas comosus (pineapple). Its description in RNAcentral is "long non-coding RNA (ACOM_LNC042927)". Lineage: Eukaryota; Viridiplantae; Streptophyta; Magnoliopsida; Poales; Bromeliaceae. The record is from RNAcentral.
AAAGUUUUGCUAGAAUACUAUCGGUAGUAAAUGGCUCGGUUUGCUACCGAUUUGUUUUCGAUGAUAGAGCUUCCAAUUGAUAGAGUUUCCAAAUUUAUGAUCGGCACCGUUAAACAUGAUCUAAACUAUUUAAACUAUCUGAAAAUCAAAUUUCACACAUUUUCGAUAUUGUUCUCUUGUCUAUCAAGUGAACAGAAAAAUGAAUGACUGAAAAUUAAUAUCCUUCAAAAAGUGAUAAUACAAUUUUUAUAUUUGAGAUCUAGAGUCUAGAUUUUAUUUUAAAUAGUUUAAAGAAUUUUUUAACAAAAAUUUAGUUGAUUUGA